Vidua macroura (Pin-tailed whydah) is the source of this 671-nucleotide long non-coding RNA. RefSeq lists it as uncharacterized. The record is from RefSeq and is a predicted model, not a curated record. The transcript has 2 exons. NCBI's taxonomy places the organism in Eukaryota, Metazoa, Chordata, Aves, Passeriformes, Viduidae.
UCCAUGGUUCCCACUCGACUCAGUAACCUUGAGACGACCCCAAAAGAGCUCAAGUGCUUAAGCGACUUUAAAAACCAGGAUGUGUUAAACUUUUCAGCCUGGACAAAGACAGGCAGGAACGUGUUUGAUCUCCUUGGAUCAGCCAGAAAUCAUCCAGAAAAACCUGCUGUCCCACCAGCACAGCUCCACGCUGGGCUCACUUUUCCCCAUGAGCUCAGGCAGGGCAUCACAGAGGUGCUGACACCAAACCACCUCGUUGUAGGAUUAAAAACGAUCUCCUGAGCUAUGAUAUUUAACAGGGAAAUAUUAGAAAACAUCCACAGAGUGACUUACUGUAGUUUAUAUCACAGCUUUGACUGCAAAAGGCGUUGCAGAGACACUCUGCCACAUUUCCAAGCCUGGUUACACUCAGGGGACACAGCCACAAGUAGAACUCACCCGUGUGUAACUCAUCAGGAAAUGAAAAAAAAAAAUUCCCAGAUUUGGCACAUUUCAUCAGCUGGGUGUUGCCUACCUAAGUCAAUUAACUGAGGCACAGGGAACGGUGCUGAUUCCCUGCCUUAGAGUGAUUUCCCAGGAUUCUUCUGGAUAUGAGAUGAGACAUCUCCGGAGACUAUUUCCUGCCAAAGUCAUUUUAAAUAACUAUAUUAAAUCACCAGCGGAAGUUACAA